This is a long non-coding RNA of Amaranthus tricolor (Joseph's coat), 507 nucleotides long. RefSeq lists it as uncharacterized. Lineage: Eukaryota; Viridiplantae; Streptophyta; Magnoliopsida; Caryophyllales; Amaranthaceae. The record is from RefSeq and is a predicted model, not a curated record. The transcript has 4 exons.
AUGAGAUGGUCCAAAAAGCUUAUACUAACUGUCGUGGCGGAUGGUAUACUUUCAAACUCAAUAAAUACAAAAGUGUUGCUAUUGUUGCAGAUUUAUUUCAACAAUUCUUAAAUUUUCAUUUCAUCAAAGUUCAGGGAGACAAACUCUACAUAAUGUUGUGACACCUUUAUUAGAACCAAAGGAAUAUACAUUGUGAAAACUGACUUUGCAUUUGUUGCUAAGAGGGGGAUUAAUGACCAAAUGACUGAGACAAAAGAGCAACUAAUGCUAUUGUCCAGAAAUGCUACUGUUAUAAUAAAUGCAACAAGAACCAUGAUCGAGGACCUCAAAAACAAAGGAAACAUAUUGUAAACAAGCUGACGAAAAAGGUAAAACGGCUAGAUCAUCUCCAAUGUCAAGUGCUUUUCUGCUGACAACAUGAUAUAUUUGAGAUAGAACUUGUGUGAAAGCACUCUCCACAUUCAAUGCUUCCAGGGCUGAUGUUUCUAUGAAAAAUGUGUUCUCCCU